UACGGGGGGAGCAAGCGUUGUUCGGAUUUACUGGGCGUAAAGGGCGCGUAGGCGGCCAGCACAAGUCAGUUGUGAAAUCUCCGAGCUUAACUCGGAAAGGUCAACUGAUACUGUGCGGCUAGAGUGCAGAAGGGGCAACUGGAAUUCUUGGUGUAGCGGUGAAAUGCGUAGAUAUCAAGAGGAACACCUGCGGCGAAGGCGGGUUGCUGGGCUGACACUGACGCUGAUGCGCGAAAGCCAGGGAAGCGAACGGG
Molecule: ribosomal RNA, 254 nt
Filed under: uncultured bacterium
Lineage: Bacteria
Description: partial 16S ribosomal RNA
Rfam family: Bacterial small subunit ribosomal RNA
Source: RNAcentral